AUAAUUGCGUUGACGGAAAGGAGUACUUAACAUCCUCUAUAAAAGCGAACCUAGGACGGUGGAAGCUAGGGUAUAGAGUGUUAAGGAAGGGCGUUCCUGAGCAAUGAUGUAUACAUUUUUUAAAGUGGCUGCUUUUUAUAAGCGGCAAAUAGGGUGGAACCGCGGGUAUACUCUCGUCCCUAUG
Molecule: non-coding RNA, 184 nt
Filed under: Bacillus sp. (in: firmicutes)
Lineage: Bacteria; Bacillati; Bacillota; Bacilli; Caryophanales; Bacillaceae
Description: Bacillus sp. T-box sequence
Rfam family: T-box leader
About the family: Uncharged tRNA acts as the effector for transcription antitermination of genes in the T-box leader family. T-boxes are found upstream of many aminoacyl-tRNA synthetase genes and some amino acid biosynthetic genes usually in Gram-positive bacteria.
Source: RNAcentral